GCAUAUCAAUAAGCGGAGGAAAAGAAACUAACUAGGAUUCCCUUAGUAACGGCGAGUGAACCGGGAUGAGCUCAAAUUUGAAAUCUGGCGUCUUUCAGGCGUCCGAGUUGUAAUCUAUAGAGGCGUUUUCCGCGCCGGACCGCGUCCAAGUCUCUUGGAAUAGAGUAUCAAAGAGGGUGACAAUCCCGUACUUGACGCGACAACCGGUGCUCUGUGAUACGUUCUCAAUGAGUCGAGUUGUUUGGGAAUGCAGCUCUAAAUGGGUGGUAAAUUCCAUCUAAGGCUAAAUAUUGGCGAGAGACCGAUAGCGAACAAGUACCGUGAGGGAAAGAUGAAAAGCACUUUGGAAAGAGAGUUAAACAGCACGUGAAAUUGUUAAAAGGGAAACGAUUGAAGUCAGUCGUGUGGGAAGUAUUCAGCCGUCUCUGGCGGUGUAUUUGCUUCUCACGGGUCAACAUCAGUUUGAUCCGGUAGAAAAAGGCGGGAAGAAGGUGGCACCCUCGGGUGUGUUAUAGCUUCCUGUCAUAUGUGCCGGACCAGACUGAGGAACGCAGCUUGCAGCAAUGCCGGGGUUCGCCCACGUACAAGCUUAGGAUGUUGACAUAAUGGCUUUAAACGACCCGUCUU
This 627-nucleotide ribosomal RNA is filed under the name Vishniacozyma carnescens. RNAcentral's name for it is "partial large subunit ribosomal RNA". It matches the Rfam family "Eukaryotic large subunit ribosomal RNA", at positions 38 to 655 of the family's 3401-position model. Lineage: Eukaryota; Fungi; Basidiomycota; Tremellomycetes; Tremellales; Bulleribasidiaceae. The record is from RNAcentral.